AUUGAACGCUGGCGGCAUGCCUAACACAUGCAAGUCGAACGAGUGGCGGACGGGUGAGUAAUGUCUGGGAAACUGCCUGAUGGAGGGGGAUAACUACUGGAAACCGUAGCUAAUACCGCAUACCAUCAGAUGUGCCCAGAUGGGAUUAGCUGGUUGGUGGGUGAACGGCUCACCACGGCGAAGAUACCUCGCUGGUCUGAGAGGAUGACCAGCCACACUGGAACUGAGACACGGUCCAGACUCCUACGGGAGGCAGCAGUGGGAAAUAUUGCACAAUGGGCGCAAUCCUGAUGCAGCCAUGCCGCGUGGAUGAAGAAGGCCUUCGGGUGGUAAAGUACUUUCAGCGGGGAGGCGGUACCCGCAGAGGAAGCACCGGCUAACUCCGUGCCAGCCGCCGCGGUAAUAC
RNAcentral lists this ribosomal RNA (406 nucleotides) under uncultured bacterium. Its description in RNAcentral is "partial 16S ribosomal RNA". It matches the Rfam family "Bacterial small subunit ribosomal RNA", at positions 30 to 526 of the family's 1533-position model. The record is from RNAcentral.